Prosopis cineraria is the source of this 501-nucleotide long non-coding RNA. RefSeq lists it as uncharacterized. Lineage: Eukaryota; Viridiplantae; Streptophyta; Magnoliopsida; Fabales; Fabaceae. The transcript is spliced from 2 exons. The record is from RefSeq and is a predicted model, not a curated record.
CCAAUCUUCCCCUUCUCUCUUGUUAACUUCUCUUCGGCCUCACUUACUUUGUUUAGUCUACACUCACAUCGUCACUACCCUCAGUCUCUUCUUCCUUUCCUCUUUUCUUAACUUGUCUCUCUUGCUAGCUUCGUUCCGCUCCGCUCCACUCAGACUGAAGGAAGUGUACCAAAUACUCUUGUUAUGGCAAAUCGUAAGGUUAUAAAACCUUGGGUUACAGAAGCUGAGCAUAUAAUUCAUUCCUUAAAUUUCCCCAUUCUCUAUGCAUUUACUUCACUGUUUAAUUUGUUGAUUGUCUGGGACCAUUCUGUUAAAUUAGUAGGUUGGGUAAAGUUAAAUUAGGAUGAAUGAAAAGAGAGUUUCUGCCGAAUCUUGGUCAUGACUCAUGAUACCUUUUGAUUUUUGUUGAAGUGUGUAGAGUUUUAAUGGAAUGAAAUUUACUUUGAAAUUUGAGGUAUGUAAAGUUUUAAUGGAUAUUAAUGCUUCAUUUAACAAUUUUUA